This 80-nucleotide transfer RNA is filed under the name Candidatus Uhrbacteria bacterium. RNAcentral describes it as "tRNA-Asp". The stretch from base 6 to 68 matches the Rfam family "tRNA", at positions 6 to 65 of the family's 71-position model. From Rfam's summary of the family: Transfer RNA (tRNA) molecules are approximately 80 nucleotides in length. Their secondary structure includes four short double-helical elements and three loops (D, anti-codon, and T loops). Further hydrogen bonds mediate the characteristic L-shaped molecular structure. tRNAs have two regions of fundamental functional importance: the anti-codon, which is responsible for specific mRNA codon recognition, and the 3' end, to which the tRNAs corresponding amino acid is attached (by aminoacyl-tRNA synthetases). tRNAs cope with the degeneracy of the genetic code in two manners: having more than one tRNA (with a specific anti-codon) for a particular amino acid; and 'wobble' base-pairing, i.e. permitting non-standard base-pairing at the 3rd anti-codon position. The record is from RNAcentral. Lineage: Bacteria; Candidatus Uhriibacteriota.
GGGCUGGUAGUUCAAUUGGUUAGAGCACUGCCCUGUCACGGCAGAAGUUGCGGGUUCGAGUCCCGUCCGNNGGCCCGCCA